Molecule: ribosomal RNA, 460 nt
Filed under: uncultured bacterium
Lineage: Bacteria
Description: partial 16S ribosomal RNA
Rfam family: Bacterial small subunit ribosomal RNA
Source: RNAcentral
CCUACGAGAGGCAGCAGUGAGGAAUAUUGGUCAAUGGGCGCGAGCCUGAACCAGCCAAGUAGCGUGAAGGAUGACUGCCCUACGGGUUGUAAACUUCUUUUAUAAAGGAAUAAAGUGAGGCACGUGUGCCUUUUUGUAUGUACUUUAUGAAUAAGGAUCGGCUAACUCCGUGCCAGCAGCCGCGGUAAUACGGAGGAUCCGAGCGUUAUCCGGAUUUAUUGGGUUUAAAGGGAGCGUAGAUGGGUUGUUAAGUCAAUUGUGAAAGUUUGCGGCUCAACCGUAAAAUUGCAAUUGAUACUGGCAGUCUUGAGUACAGUUGAGGUAGGCGGAAUUCGUGGUGUAGCGGUGAAAUGCUUAGAUAUCACGAAGAACCCCGAUUGCGAAGGCAGCUUACUAAACUGUGACUGACAUUGAUGCUCGAAAGUGUGGGUAUCAAACAGGAUUAGAUACCCUUGUAGUC